Molecule: transfer RNA, 74 nt
Filed under: Ktedonobacterales bacterium
Lineage: Bacteria; Bacillati; Chloroflexota; Ktedonobacteria; Ktedonobacterales
Description: tRNA-Asp
Rfam family: tRNA
About the family: Transfer RNA (tRNA) molecules are approximately 80 nucleotides in length. Their secondary structure includes four short double-helical elements and three loops (D, anti-codon, and T loops).
Source: RNAcentral
GGUCCUGUGGUGUAGCGGCCUAACAUGUCUCCCUGUCACGGAGAAGACCGCCGGUUCGAAUCCGGUCAGGACCG